Molecule: ribosomal RNA, 402 nt
Filed under: bacterium
Lineage: Bacteria
Description: partial 16S ribosomal RNA
Rfam family: Bacterial small subunit ribosomal RNA
Source: RNAcentral
UGGGGAAUUUUGCACAAUGGGGGAAACCCUGAUGCAGCGACGCCGCGUGAUUUAGAAGGCCUUCGGGUUGUAAAAAUCUUUUCUAUGGGAAGAAAAUGACAGUACCAUAGGAAUAAGGACCGGCUAAUUACGUGCCAGCAGCCGCGGUAAUACGUAAGGUCCGAGCGUUGUCCGUAAUCAUUGGGCGUAAAGGGUACGUAGGCGGGUAAGCAAGUUAGAAGUGAAAUCCUAUAGCUCAACCAUAGUAAGCUUUUAAAACUGCUAAUCUUGAGGUAUGGAAGGGAAAGUGGAAUUCCUGGUGUAGCGGUGAAAUGCGCAGAUAUUAGGAGGAAUACCGGUGGCGAAGGCGACUUUCUGGCCAUACCCUGACGCUGAGGUACGAAAGCGUGGGUAGCAAACAGG